AACAAACGCUAGCGGCAUGCUUUACACAUGCAAGUCGAACGGAGAUAGUUUACUAUCUUAGUGGCAAACGGGUGAGUAACGCGUAGGAAUCUACCUUUUAGUGGGGGAUAACCAACGGAAACGUUGGCUAAUACCGCAUAUUCUCAGAAAUGAGGAAAGAUUUAUUGCUAAAAGAUGAGCCUGCGUCAGAUUAGAUAGUUGGUGAGGUAAUGGCUCACCAAGUCAACGAUCUGUAGCUGGUCUGAGAGGAUGAUCAGCCACACUGGGAUUGAGAUACGGCCCAGACUCCUACGGGAGGCAGCAGUGGGGAAUAUUGGACAAUGGGGGAAACCCUGAUCCAGCAAUGUCGCGUGAAUGAAGAAGGCCUUUGGGUUGUAAAGUUCUUUUACUUGUGAAGAUGAUGACUGUAGCAAGAGAAUAAGGUCCGGCUAACUUCGUGCCAGCAGCCGCGGUAAUACGAAGGGAUCAAGCGUUGUUCGGAAUGACUGGGCGUAAAGGGUGCGUAGGCGGCUAUUUAAGUAAGAUGUUAAAGAUCUAGGCUCAACCUAGAGAGUGCGUCUUAAACUGAAUAGCUAGAGUAUGAGAGAGGAAAGUGGAAUUCCUAGUGUAGAGGUGAAAUUCGCAGAUAUUAGGAGGAAUACCGGAGGCGAAGGCGGCUUUCUGGAUCAUUACUGACGCUGAGGCACGAAAGCGUGGGGAGCGAAAAGGAUUAGAGACCCUUGUAGUCCACGCCCUAAACGAUGAGUACUAGACGUUGGAUUUUUCCAGUGUCGCAGCUAACGCAUUAAGUACUCCGCCUGAGGAAUACGGUCGCAAGACUAAAACUUAAAGGAAUUGACGGGGACCCGCACAAGCGGUGGAGCAUGUGGUUUAAUUCGAAGAUACGCGAAAAACCUUACCGGCUCUUGACAUAGGGAUUUUAAAUUUAAGAGAUUAGAUUUUUCAGUUCGGCUGGAUCCUAUACAGGUGCUGCAUGGCUAUCGUCAGUUCGUGUCGUGAGAUGUUGGGUUAAGUCCCUAAACGAACGCAACCCUUUUUCUUAGUUGCUACAGGUUAUGCUGAGAACUUUAAGAAGACUGCCGAUGAUUUAAAUCGGAGGAAGGUGAGGAUGACGUUAAGUCCUCAUGGCCCUUAUGGGCCGGGCUACACACGUGCUACAAUGGUAACUACAAAGAGAUGCAAUAGGGUGACCUGGAGCUAAUCUUUAAAGGUUAUCUCAGUUCGGAUUGUUCUCUGCAACUCGAGAACAUGAAGUUGGAAUCGCUAGUAAUCGUAGAUCAGCAUGCUACGGUGAAUACGUUCACGGGUCUUGUACACACCGCCCGUCAAGCCAUGGGAGUUGGGGUUGCUUUAAAGCGAUGAGCUAACCGUAAGGAGGCAGUCGUUCACAGCAAAAUCAGUGACUGGGGCUAAGUCGUAACAAGGUAGCCGUAGGGGAACCUGCGGCUGGAUCACCUCCUUUCUAGGGAGCGAAUUUUCGCACUCUAAUAUGGAAUUGAUGUGACAGUUUUUGUGUCGAUCGUUUAUCUUUCUCAUCGCAAAGAAUUAAUUCUUUGCUUUUCUAGAGUUUGAAGUCUGUAAUAUGAUGGGCUAGUAGCUCAGUUGGUUAGAGCGCACGCUUGAUAAGCGUGAGGUCGAAGGUUCAAGUCCUUCUUGGCCCACUUUAAGGGGGUGUAGCUCAGUUGGUAGAGCGCAUGCUUUGCAAGCAUGAUGUCAUCGGUUCGAUUCCGUUUACCUCCACCACUUUUUUUCUCUAUGAAUAGUAAGAUUAUAUUUGUUCUUUAUAAAUUGUUAAUAUGAAAAGAAAUAAAAAUUUUAUUUUUGAUUCUGUUGAAUCAAAAAAUUAGAAUGAGUGUGAAUCAAGCGUAUAAGAGCAUUUAGUGAAUGCCUUGGCACUGAGAGGCGAUGAAGGACGUGGUAGACUGCGAAAAUCUGUGGGGAAGAGUCAGCAUCUGUUGAUCCGCAGGUAUCCGAAUGGGGAAACCCACCGCUUUGGCGGUAUCAUAUUUUGAAUACAUAGAAAUAUGAGGCGAACCUGGUGAACUGAAACAUCUAAGUAACCAGAGGAAAGGAAAUCAAAGAGACUUCGUAAGUAGUGGCGAGCGAAAGCGAACCAGGCAGUUGUUUAUUUUUGUUGUGAAUUGGAAUUUUUUGGAAAAUGAAACUAUAAAGGGUGAUAGUCCCGUACAAGAAAGCGACAGAUAUUUAAUGGACAACUAAAAAGUAAGGCGGGACACGUGAAAUCCUGUUUGAAAAUGGGGGGACCAUCCUCCAAGCCUA
Molecule: ribosomal RNA, 2280 nt
Filed under: Holospora caryophila
Lineage: Bacteria; Pseudomonadati; Pseudomonadota; Alphaproteobacteria; Holosporales; Holosporaceae
Description: bacterial SSU rRNA
Rfam family: Bacterial small subunit ribosomal RNA (bases 1-1462)
Source: RNAcentral